UGUAAGCGUAUACCAAAGUUGUUGCAGUUAAAACGCUCGUAGUCGGACUUUGGCAGUUCCGGAUGUGUGCACGUCGUGUGCGCACUUCGCGGGGAUUGCUUUUGUGGUCUUGCGUAGGAUGAGGCACUUUUAUUAGUGAACGUCCUCACGCAACCACUUUUUACUGUGAGAAAAUCAGAGUGCUCAAAGCAGGCAUCUGCCGUGAAUGUAUUAGCAUGGAAUAAUAGAAUAGGACUUGGUUCUAUUUUGUUGGUUUGUUGGGACUGAGUAAUGAUUAAGAGGGACAGUUGGGGGCAUUUGUAUUUCGGUGCUAGAGGUGAAAUUCUUAGAUUACCGAAAGACAAACUGCUGCGAAAGCGUCUGCCAAGGAUGUUUUCAUUGA
Molecule: ribosomal RNA, 382 nt
Filed under: uncultured eukaryote
Lineage: Eukaryota
Description: partial 18S ribosomal RNA
Rfam family: Eukaryotic small subunit ribosomal RNA
Source: RNAcentral